Dermochelys coriacea (leatherback sea turtle) is the source of this 2341-nucleotide long non-coding RNA. RefSeq lists it as uncharacterized. NCBI's taxonomy places the organism in Eukaryota, Metazoa, Chordata, Testudines, Dermochelyidae. The transcript is spliced from 4 exons. The record is from RefSeq and is a predicted model, not a curated record.
UUCUAAAAGCUAGGGAGCUGGUUGCAGGGAGAGGACUACAGUCACUCGCCCUGGGAGCGCGGGAAGAAAGAGGAACUUAUUGCCAAGACAAAGGAUUUGUCUGACAAAUCCAGAGGAAAGGGGAUUGGCUGGAAGUGUGGGGAAUGCGAGCCUGGGAUGGGUAAGGUAGAAAGUAGUACAGAGGAGUAUUAGAAAGGUUUAUCAUUACCCAGACCUUCGCUGCUGGAUAUAGGGCCUUGGACUGGAACCCAGAGUAUAGGGUGAGCCUGGUUCCCCUACCAGCCACUGGCACAAUCUGGGAAGUGAACUUUGAUGCUGUCUAGACCAUGCAUUCUAGCUACUGAGGGAGUCGCCCAGCAAGGGCAGUGGUGUAAGGAUUUUCUGGGACAGUGAGGAAGGAGUUAUUACCAUGGAUGAGGAGGCUAAACCACGAAGGCAAGGUGCUGCAGCUCCUGAAGACCAAGAAAGGGGCAGCAGACAAAGAGAGCAAGAUGAGGGGCAGAGGAACUGCAGGAAGAAGGCAUCAGGCUGAAAGAGCCAAUCCCCAGAUUAGCCAGUAGGAAGUGUGCUCUGGCAGUGAGUAGAGUACCCCAGGACAGUCUGAUUUGCAAAGAUAGUUAAGUACCAAAAGAGGCAGAUCACUGACUGUAAAACUGACCAUACAAAAUCAAGAGGGGAGAGUGCGAACGCGGUCCUCCACUACCACAAAUUAUGCAGUCGAGUUUCCCGCAUUUGGGGAAAUCGCAGAGAUCAGCGCACCCUCAGUGCAAUGGAUGAGCCUCAUCCUGGCAAAACCACCUUCGUGAUCAUGGUAUCUCCCCUGCCAGGAUUUUCUUUAUACACUUAACUGAGUAGUUAAUCAGUCGGCUGACUGGCUAGCAGAGAUUUCAGCAGAGGAAGAGUCUGCAUGGGUUCCAACUGAAGAUUCCUACAAGCAAGUGGAGGGAAGAUGUUGUUUUAGACCAGGGGUGGGAAAACUAAAGCCUGGCCCGUGAGCUCCAGCCGGGGCGCCGGGUCAGGGGCCACACCACAUGGCUCGGCCCCACUCCGGGUCGGGGACUGCAAGCCAUGACUCCCAGAAGCUGCAGCAUGGCCCCGCUGCAAGGGUUGGGGGUCGCUCCACGCAUAGGAGCUGGGGAAGCGACAUGCUACUGCUUCCAGGAGCCGCUUGAGCCAGGAUUCAAACCUUUUGGGGCACUGAGUGUUCCUGAUUCCUGAAGAAAAAGACACCACACCACAACUUCUGUGGCACUUUAUGAUAAACCUUGUUCAUUCCUGUCUGUGAGUUUCAAAUCUUGGCUUUUCCUCAGUACAAAGGCUGAACAGUUAGUCACUGUCGAAAUAUGAGACACUAUUGGCCAGGUAUAAUGCUUUUUUGAUAUCUCAUAUAAAGUUACAUUGAAAAUAUAAGAAGAAUCUACAUUGGACCUGAUCCUGCCCUCAGUUGUGUGGAUGUAGAUCAAGAUUAACUCCGCCAAAGUCAGUGGAGUUACACUAAUGUAAAACCAAUGUAAAUGAUAUUAGAAGAAGACUCAGAGUGGUUUUGAUAUGUAAAUAAAUUAAGUGUUGAUCUUUUUUGUUUUAAAAGAUUUAUAGUAUGUUCACUGGAAACAAGCAAAGCCUUGUUUUGUUAAUCAUUUAUUGCAACAUUAUACUUGCUGAAAAUGGUUCCUUUUCAGCCACAGUUGCUUUGGAUUCUUUCCACAUUGCACAAUUAUUACUAAAUUGUUACUAAAACUGAAUAGCAAGGUGAAAAUAUUAUUGAAGAGGAAUAUGCUUCUCUUUCCUUGCUUUAACAUGUUUGUGUGGAUAUAUAAAAUGGGUUGUACCCAUGGAAGUGAUUUCUAGGAGCUGUAGCUACUUAGUUUAAUGACAUACAUUUGUUAUAAUUUAUAUGAAUGAAAUAAUUAUAUGGUGUUAGUAUGGUAGUGUGGAAGAUGGUGCUUGAAUUUUUUUGGCCAGGUUCUCAGUUGGUGUGAAUUGGUGUAGCAUCAUUGAAGUCAAUGUGUCUGAGAUGAUUUACACCAAUUGAAGAUCUGGCUCAAUAUUUAGAAAAGAAGUUGAUUGCAAGAUACUUAGUGUUCUGAAAGAAAUUUUCAAAGUUCUUUCCGUAUGCUGAAUUCCCAAUCAAAUCACUGAGUCCUCUAUUAUUCAUAUACAUAUCUGCAGAUAGCUUACUGGUUCUGCUUAUGAAAGAUCAUUGCCCAUUUCCUUUUCAUUAAUCUUUUAGGGCUGUAUCCAGUUUUGUUCUGCACCCCACCUGCAUGAAAGCCUGUGAAAUAGUUGGCUGAAGGUUGGUAAAGGUUGGCAUUUUAUGACAUAUUCCACAGAAAUUUUCAAA